Molecule: long non-coding RNA, 857 nt
Filed under: Panax ginseng (ginseng)
Lineage: Eukaryota; Viridiplantae; Streptophyta; Magnoliopsida; Apiales; Araliaceae
Description: long non-coding RNA (PGIN_LNC010958)
Source: RNAcentral
ACAUUUUCUUAUAAUUAUUUAUUAUUGAAAAUUGAUUUCUAAAUUCAUAUAUAUAUAUAAGAGAGAGAGAGAGAGAGAGACUGCGUACGGAUGAUCUUUCUGUAUUGUGUAAUAAAUUAAAUCGAUUAUAAUAUCGUUAGGAUCUACAAUUUUACAUAUAUUCACUCUAUCAAAGAGGAAAAAGAAUCCUAAAAGGAUAGAAACAAGUACAUAUUGAUUGCACCUUUGAGCAAUACUGAAAACUUCAUAAGAAUCAAAACAAUUAAAGAGCCAGAGAAUAUAAAAAAAGAAAAGAAUUAUUAAAAUAAAAAUAAAAAGAUUUUUGAAUAGUCUAAUGGCCGGGACCUCUUUUGCUUGGUCCAGACUCCAAUUUGAACAUCAAGCUCCGUAUAGCAGAACCACCGUUGCUACCAUUAGUACUGUCAUUAUUGGCAACCGCCACGUCGAACCGAGUCACGCUCAUCGAGUUAGCUCCUUCACCGGGUUGAUCGCAUUCGGCAGCAAUCGUAUUAUCGGUCGACGGUGUUGAUUUCUUCAGAGCUCUGCAUUCCACAACACUACUGAGCUGUGAAAUCAUGAACAAAAUCAUGAUACUCAAAACUAGACAAAAACUCUUCUUUGCCAUUGCCAUUAAUUUGUAUGUAUUGUCUUUACUAUUUUCUCUCUCCUCUCUGGAUUGUUUUUCUCUCUCUAGAUUUGCUCGGAAAAGUAGGUGUCGACGUUAAUGUGUGAGAUUGUUGAUGAAGCAACAAGGUGUGGAGCUACUGGUUUAUAAAUAGGGAGGACGGUAGAGGGCUUUUGAAUUAACUGUGAGCCGGGCCCGUUAAUGACUAAGGAAUGUUUGACUUGGCGCUGCA